CCCCUUAGAUGUUCUGGGCCGCACGCGCGCUACACUGAUGCAUUCAACGAGCCUAUCCUUGACCGACAGGUCCGGGUAAUCUUUGAAUCUGCAUCGUGACGGGGAUAGAUUAUUGCAAUUAUUAAUCUUCAACGAGGAAUGCCUAGUAGGCGCAAGUCAUCAGCUUGCGUCGAUUACGUCCCUGCCCUUUGUACACACCGCCCGUCGCUCCUACCGAUUGGGUGUGCUGGUGAAAUGUUCGGAUCGGCCGUUUGUCGCGGUUUCCGCGGCUCGUGGCUGAGAAGUUCAUUAAACCCUCCCACCUAGAGGAAGGAGAAGUCGUAACA
Molecule: ribosomal RNA, 326 nt
Filed under: uncultured eukaryote
Lineage: Eukaryota
Description: partial 18S ribosomal RNA
Rfam family: Eukaryotic small subunit ribosomal RNA
Source: RNAcentral